GAUGAACGCUGGCGGCGUGCUUAACACAUGCAAGUCGAACGAUGAUGCCCAGCUUGCUGGGUGGAUUAGUGGCGAACGGGUGAGUAACACGUGAGUAACCUGCCCUUGACUCUGGGAUAAGCCUGGGAAACUGGGUCUAAUACCGGAUACGACCAUCUGGCGCAUGUCAUGGUGGUGGAAAGCUUUUGUGGUUUUGGAUGGACUCGCGGCCUAUCAGCUUGUUGGUGGGGUAAUGGCCUACCAAGGCGACGACGGGUAGCCGGCCUGAGAGGGUGACCGGCCACACUGGGGCUGAGGAACGGCCCAGACUCCUACGGGAGGCAGCAGUGGGGAAUAUUGCACAAUGGGCGGAAGCCUUAUGCAGCGACGGCGCGUGAGGGAUGACGGGCUUCGGGUUGUAAACCUCUUUCAGGAGGGAAGAAGCGAAAGUGACGGUACCUGCAGAAGAAGCGCCGGCUAACUACGUG
This 467-nucleotide ribosomal RNA is filed under the name uncultured bacterium. RNAcentral describes it as "partial 16S ribosomal RNA". It matches the Rfam family "Bacterial small subunit ribosomal RNA", at positions 28 to 507 of the family's 1533-position model. The record is from RNAcentral.